GAGUAACGCGUGAGUAACCUGCCUUUCAGAGGGGGAUAACGUUCUGAAAAGAACGCUAAUACCGCAUGAGACUACAGAGCUGCAUGGCUCAGUGGUCAAAGGAGCAAUCCGCUGAAAGAUGGACUCGCGUCCGAUUAGAUAGUAGGCGGGGUAACGGCCCACCUAGUCGACGAUCGGUAGCCGGACUGAGAGGUUGAACGGCCACAUUGGGACUGAGACACGGCCCAGACUCCUACGGGAGGCAGCAUG
RNAcentral lists this ribosomal RNA (249 nucleotides) under uncultured bacterium. Its description in RNAcentral is "partial 16S ribosomal RNA". It matches the Rfam family "Bacterial small subunit ribosomal RNA", at positions 108 to 353 of the family's 1533-position model. The record is from RNAcentral.